RNAcentral lists this unclassified non-coding RNA (377 nucleotides) under uncultured Oligoflexaceae bacterium. RNAcentral describes it as "contains 16S-23S intergenic spacer region". Lineage: Bacteria; Pseudomonadati; Bdellovibrionota; Oligoflexia; Oligoflexales; Oligoflexaceae. The record is from RNAcentral.
UCCGGUUUAACACCGGCAGUCUUCUUAGAGUCCCCAACUUAAUGAUGGUAACUAAGAACAGGGGUUGCGCUCGUUAUUGGACUUAACCAGACAUCUUACGACACGAGCUGACGACAGCCAUGCAGCACCUAUCUCCGCGUCCCCGAAGGGAACAUACCAUCUCUGGUACUAGCACGGGAUGUUAAGGGUAGGUAAGGUUCUGCGCGUUGCGUCGAAUUAAACCACAUACUCCACCGCUUGUGCGGGCCCCCGUCAAUUUCUUUGAGUUUCGGCCUUGCGACUGUACUCCCCAGGCGGGAUACUUAACGCGUUAGCUGUAGUACUCAGAGGGUUAAUUCUCCAAACACCUAGUAUCCAUAGUUUACAGCGUGGACUAC